UACAGAGGGGGCAAGCGUUGUUCGGAAUUACUGGGCGUAAAGGGCGCGUAGGCGGCCUGCUAAGUCGAACGUGAAAUCCCCGAGCUCAACUCGGGAACUGCGUCCGAUACUGGCAGGCUUGAAUCCGGGAGAGGGAUGCGGAAUUCCAGGUGUAGCGGUGAAAUGCGUAGAUAUCGGAAGGAACAUCAGUGGCGAAAGCGGCUUCCUGGACCAGUACCGACGUUCAGGCACGAAAGCGUGGGGAGCAAACAGG
Molecule: ribosomal RNA, 253 nt
Filed under: uncultured bacterium
Lineage: Bacteria
Description: partial 16S ribosomal RNA
Rfam family: Bacterial small subunit ribosomal RNA
Source: RNAcentral